AGAGUUUGAUCCUGGCUCAGGAUGAACGCUAGCGACAGGCUUAACACAUGCAAGUCGAGGGGCAGCACAGGUAGCAAUACCGGGUGGCGACCGGCGCACGGGUGAGUAACGCGUAUGCAACUUACCUAUCAGAGGGGGAUAACCCGGCGAAAGUCGGACUAAUACCGCAUGAAGCAGGGGCCCCGCAUGGGGAUAUUUGCUAAAGAUUCAUCGCUGAUAGAUAGGCAUGCGUUCCAUUAGGCAGUUGGCGGGGUAACGGCCCACCAAACCGACGAUGGAUAGGGGUUCUGAGAGGAAGGUCCCCCACAUUGGUACUGAGACACGGACCAAACUCCUACGGGAGGCAGCAGUGAGGAAUAUUGGUCAAUGGCCGAGAGGCUGAACCAGCCAAGUCGCGUGAGGGAUGAAGGUUCUAUGGAUCGUAAACCUCUUUUAUAAGGGAAUAAAGUGCGGGACGUGUCCCGUUUUGUAUGUACCUUAUGAAUAAGGAUCGGCUAACUCCGUGCCAGCAGCCGCGGUAAUACGGAGGAUCCGAGCGUUAUCCGGAUUUAUUGGGUUUAAAGGGUGCGUAGGCGGCCUUUUAAGUCAGCGGUGAAAGUCUGUGGCUCAACCAUAGAAUUGCCGUUGAAACUGGGGGGCUUGAGUAUGUUUGAGGCAGGCGGAAUGCGUGGUGUAGCGGUGAAAUGCAUAGAUAUCACGCAGAACCCCGAUUGCGAAGGCAGCCUGCCAAGCCAUGACUGACGCUGAUGCACGAAAGCGUGGGGAUCAAACAGGAUUAGAUACCCUGGUAGUCCACGCAGUAAACGAUGAUCACUAGCUGUUUGCGAUACACUGUAAGCGGCACAGCGAAAGCGUUAAGUGAUCCACCUGGGGAGUACGCCGGCAACGGUGAAACUCAAAGGAAUUGACGGGGGCCCGCACAAGCGGAGGAACAUGUGGUUUAAUUCGAUGAUACGCGAGGAACCUUACCCGGGUUUGAACGCAUUCGGACCGAGGUGGAAACACCUUUUCUAGCAAUAGCCGUUUGCGAGGUGCUGCAUGGUUGUCGUCAGCUCGUGCCGUGAGGUGUCGGCUUAAGUGCCAUAACGAGCGCAACCCUUGCCACUAGUUACUAACAGGUAAAGCUGAGGACUCUGGUGGGACUGCCAGCGUAAGCUGCGAGGAAGGCGGGGAUGACGUCAAAUCAGCACGGCCCUUACAUCCGGGGCGACACACGUGUUACAAUGGCGUGGACAAAGGGAAGCCACCUGGCGACAGGGAGCGAAUCCCCAAACCACGUCUCAGUUCGGAUCGGAGUCUGCAACCCGACUCCGUGAAGCUGGAUUCGCUAGUAAUCGCGCAUCAGCCAUGGCGCGGUGAAUACGUUCCCGGGCCUUGUACACACCGCCCGUCAAGCCAUGGGAGCCGGGGGUACCUGAAGUCCGUAACCGCGAGGAUCGGCCUAGGGUAAAACUGGUGACUGGGGCUAAGUCGUAACAAGGUAGCCGUACCGGAAGGUGCGGCUG
This 1505-nucleotide ribosomal RNA is filed under the name gut metagenome. RNAcentral's name for it is "bacterial SSU rRNA". It matches the Rfam family "Bacterial small subunit ribosomal RNA". The record is from RNAcentral.